GACGAACGCUGGCGGCGUGCUUAACACAUGCAAGUCGAACGGAAAGGCCCUGCUUUUGUGGGGUGCUCGAGUGGCGAACGGGUGAGUAACACGUGAGUAACCUGCCCUUGACUUUGGGAUAACUUCAGGAAACUGGGGCUAAUACCGGAUAGGAGCUCCUGCUGCAUGGUGGGGGUUGGAAAGUUUUGGCGGUUGGGGUUGGACUCGCGGCUUAUCAGCUUGUUGGUGGGGUAGUGGCUUACCAAGGCUUUGACGGGUAGCCGGCCUGAGAGGGUGACCGGCCACAUUGGGACUGAGAUACGGCCCAGACUCCUACGGGAGGCAGCAGUGGGGAAUAUUGCACAAUGGGCGGAAGCCUGAUGCAGCAACGCCGCGUGCGGGAUGACGGCCUUCGGGUUGUAAACCGCUUUCGCCUGUGACGAAGCGUGAGUGACGGUAAUGGGUAAAGAAGCACCGGCUAACUACGUG
This 468-nucleotide ribosomal RNA is filed under the name uncultured bacterium. RNAcentral's name for it is "partial 16S ribosomal RNA". It matches the Rfam family "Bacterial small subunit ribosomal RNA", at positions 28 to 507 of the family's 1533-position model. The record is from RNAcentral.